Molecule: ribosomal RNA, 449 nt
Filed under: uncultured bacterium
Lineage: Bacteria
Description: partial 16S ribosomal RNA
Rfam family: Bacterial small subunit ribosomal RNA
Source: RNAcentral
CCUACGGGUGGCUGCAGUGGGGAAUUUUGGACAAUGGGGGCAACCCUGAUCCAGCCAUGCCGCGUGAGUGAAGAAGGCCUUCGGGUUGUAAAGCUCUUUCGGCCGGGAAGAAAUCGCUCAAGCUAAUACCUUGGGUGGAUGACGGUACCGGACGAAGAAGCACCGGCUAACUACGUGCCAGCAGCCGCGGUAAUACGUAGGGUGCGAGCGGUAAUCGGAAGUACUGGGGGGAAGCCGUGCGCAAGCUGUGAAAUCCCCGGGCUUAACCUGGGAACUGCGUUUGUGACUGUGGUGCUCGAGUGCGGCAGAGGGGGGUGGAAUUCCACGUGUAGCAGUGAAAUGCGUAGAGAUGUGGAGGAACACCGAUGGCGAAGGCAGCCCCCUGGGUCGACACUGACGCUCAUGCACGAAAGCGUGGGGAGCAAACAGGAUUAGAUACCCGGGUAGUC